This 662-nucleotide ribosomal RNA is filed under the name uncultured fungus. Its description in RNAcentral is "eukaryotic LSU rRNA". The stretch from base 257 to 410 matches the Rfam family "5.8S ribosomal RNA". Lineage: Eukaryota; Fungi. The record is from RNAcentral.
GAGGAAGUAAAAGUCGUAACAAGGUUUCNGUAGGUGAACNUGCGGAAGGAUCAUUAUAGUACAACGGAGGCACCUGGGCUGUCGCUGACCUUAAAGGACGUGCACGCCCGGAGUGCUCUCUCUCACAUCCAUCUCACCCCUUUGUGCAUCACCGCGUGGGGCCCUCUCCUUUGGCUUGUUCCGGGGAGGGGGUUUCACGUUUUUACACGAACAACCCAUUAAUGCAUGUGUAGAAUGUCUUACUUAUUUUAAAUACAACUUUCAACAACGGAUCUCUUGGCUCUCGCAUCGAUGAAGAACGCAGCGAAAUGCGAUACGUAAUGUGAAUUGCAGAAUUCAGUGAAUCAUCGAAUCUUUGAACGCACCUUGCGCCCCUUGGUAUUCCGAGGGGUGCACCCGUUUGAGUGUCGUGAACACCCUCAACCUUCUUGGUUUAUCGACCGGGAAGGAUUGGACUUUGGAGGUUUUUGUUGCUGGCCUCGUUUGAAGCCAGCUCCUCCUAAAUGAAUUAGUGGGGUCCGCCGUGCCGAUCCUCGACGUGAUAAGUACGCUUCUACGUCUUGGGGUUUCGCACCGUUCUCGCUUCCAACUUCNAGUUGUGACUCGACCUUAUAAACCUUGACCUCAAAUCGGGUGAGACUACCCGCUGAACUUAAGCAUAU